GACGAACGCUGGCGGCGUGCUUAACACAUGCAAGUCGAACGGAAAGACCCUGCUUUUGUGGGGUGCUCGAGUGGCGCACGGGUGAGUGACACGUGAGUAACCUGCACUUGUAUUUGGGAUAACUUCACGAAACUGGGGCUCAUACCGGAUAGGAGCUCCUGCUGCAUGGUGGGGGUUGGAAAGUUUCGGCGGUUUGGGCUGGACUCGCGGCUUAUCAGCUUGUUGGUGGGGUAGUGGAUUACCAAGGCUUUGACGGGUAGGCCGCCUGAGAGGGUGACCGGCGACAUGGGGCCUGAGAGAGGGCCCAGACGCCUACGGGAGGCAGCAGGGGGGAGCAUUGCGCAAUGGGGGGAAGCCAGAGACAGCGACGCCGCGUGCGUGAAGACGGCUUUCGGGUGGUAAACCGCUUUCGCCGGUGACGAAGCGUGAGUGACGGUAAUGGGUAAAGAAGCACCGGCUAACUACGUG
This 468-nucleotide ribosomal RNA is filed under the name uncultured bacterium. RNAcentral's name for it is "partial 16S ribosomal RNA". It matches the Rfam family "Bacterial small subunit ribosomal RNA", at positions 28 to 507 of the family's 1533-position model. The record is from RNAcentral.